This 902-nucleotide ribosomal RNA is filed under the name uncultured bacterium. Its description in RNAcentral is "bacterial SSU rRNA". It matches the Rfam family "Bacterial small subunit ribosomal RNA", at positions 8 to 916 of the family's 1533-position model. The record is from RNAcentral.
AGAGUUUGAUCCUGGCUCAGGAUGAACGCUAGCGGCAGGCUUAACACAUGCAAGUCGAGGGGUAGAGUUCUUCGGGACUUGAGACCGGCGCACGGGUGCGUAACGCGUAUGCAAUCUACCUUUCACAGAGGGAUAGCCCAGAGAAAUUUGGAUUAAUACCUCAUAGUAUUAUGAAAUGGCAUCAUUUUAUAAUUAAAGUCACAACGGUGAAAGAUGAGCAUGCGUCCCAUUAGCUAGUUGGUAUGGUAACGGCAUACCAAGGCUACGAUGGGUAGGGGUCCUGAGAGGGAGAUCCCCCACACUGGUACUGAGACACGGACCAGACUCCUACGGGAGGCAGCAGUGAGGAAUAUUGGACAAUGGGCGCAAGCCUGAUCCAGCCAUGCCGCGUGCAGGAUGACGGUCCUAUGGAUUGUAAACUGCUUUUAUACAGGAAGAAACACUACUUCGUGAAGUAGCUUGACGGUACUGUAAGAAUAAGGAUCGGCUAACUCCGUGCCAGCAGCCGCGGUAAUACGGAGGAUCCAAGCGUUAUCCGGAAUCAUUGGGUUUAAAGGGUCCGUAGGCGGUUUAGUAAGUCAGUGGUGAAAGCCCAUCGCUCAACGGUGGAACGGCCAUUGAUACUGCUAAACUUGAAUUAUUAGGAAGUAACUAGAAUAUGUAGUGUAGCGGUGAAAUGCUUAGAGAUUACAUGGAAUACCAAUUGCGAAGGCAGGUUACUACUAAUGGAUUGACGCUGAUGGACGAAAGCGUGGGUAGCGAACAGGAUUAGAUACCCUGGUAGUCCACGCCGUAAACGAUGGAUACUAGCUGUUGGGCGCAAGUUCAGUGGCUAAGCGAAAGUGAUAAGUAUCCCACCUGGGGAGUACGUUCGCAAGAAUGAAACUCAAAGGAAUUGACGG